This is a small nucleolar RNA of Peromyscus maniculatus bairdii (prairie deer mouse), 129 nucleotides long. The record is from Ensembl. NCBI's taxonomy places the organism in Eukaryota, Metazoa, Chordata, Mammalia, Rodentia, Cricetidae.
AAAUCUUUAUUAUUUGUGUGUUGUUGAACUGCCGGCCAAAGAUUUAAAGAAAGGUCCAAAAAUAAGUCCUCUUCUGCAACCCAGAACUUGCUGUUCAGAAUGAGUUUUGAUACAUAUGAGAAGGACUGU